This 468-nucleotide ribosomal RNA is filed under the name uncultured bacterium. RNAcentral describes it as "partial 16S ribosomal RNA". It matches the Rfam family "Bacterial small subunit ribosomal RNA", at positions 28 to 507 of the family's 1533-position model. The record is from RNAcentral.
GACGAACGCUGGCGGCGUGCUUAACACAUGCAAGUCGAACGGAAAGGCCCUGCUUUUGUGGGUUUCUCGAUUGGCGAACGGGUGAGUAACACGUGAGUAACCUCCCCUUGACUUUCUGAUAACUUCACGAAACUGGGGCUCAUACCCGAUAUGAGCUCCUGCUGCAUGUUGGGGGUUAGAAAGUUUCGGUGGUUGGGGAUGGACUCGCGGCUUAUCAGCUUCUUUGUGUGGUAGUUGCUUUCCAAGGCUUUGACGGGUAGCCGGCCUGAGAGGGUGAACGGCCACAUUGGGACUGAGAGACGGACCAGAAUCCUACGGGAGGCAGCAGUGGGGAAUAUUGCAGAAUGGGCGGAAGCCUGAUGCAGAAACGCCGCGUGCGGGAUGACGGCCUUCGGGUGGUAAACCGCUUUCGCCGGUGACGAAGCGUGAGUGACGGUAAUGGGUAAAGAAGCACCGGCUAACUACGUG